UACGUGGGGUCCGAGCGUUGUUCGGAAUUACUGGGCGUAAAGCGCACAUAGGCGGGCAAGAAAGUCGAUUGUGAAAGCCCUGGGCUAAACCUGGGAACUGCAGUCGAAACUUCUUGUCUUGAAUACCUGAGAGGGUGGGGGAAUUCCUGGUGGAGUAGUGAAAUACGUAGAGAUCAGGAGGAACACCGGAGGCGAAGGCGCUGCCUGGCGGUGUAUUGACGCUAAUUGUGCGAAAGCGCGGGGAGCAAACAGG
RNAcentral lists this ribosomal RNA (253 nucleotides) under uncultured bacterium. RNAcentral's name for it is "partial 16S ribosomal RNA". It matches the Rfam family "Bacterial small subunit ribosomal RNA", at positions 524 to 776 of the family's 1533-position model. The record is from RNAcentral.